This 1427-nucleotide long non-coding RNA is filed under the name Portunus trituberculatus (swimming crab). RNAcentral's name for it is "uncharacterized LOC123518425, transcript variant X1". Lineage: Eukaryota; Metazoa; Arthropoda; Malacostraca; Decapoda; Portunidae. The record is from RNAcentral.
GGGAACGGCGCUUUCUUGGUGACCGGGAUCUGUGCCGUCUUGAGCUGGGGGACCGGGAGCGACUGCGGUGCCGAGACCUGUGGACAAAACUACACAUUGUAGACCAAACCCUGGGAAGAGAAAACCAAUCAUAAAAACAGUGAGAUAAAUAUGCAAGAGAAAAGUGCCACCAAACCGACCUUUCUCAUCAUCUUAUGGCGGUAGUGUGCUACUUGACGGUGGAUGGAGUAACCGGGCUUAAGGGAGCGCAGGCCUUGCUCCAGCUCAUCCUGGUACUGCAACACCCGGAUCUCCACUUCACGUAGCCUUGCCCGCCGCUCCUCACUCACGUCACUGUAGAGAAAACACAAUGUUCAGCACGUGAUGCUUCCAGGCCAAACAUCACCCUACUUCACCAACUCCACUAUUUCCAGUUAAGUAAUGAAGUAGAAGGCUCCAAACAUCUCAUGUUUACCCUUGAAGUCUGUCAAAUCCUCUGGAAUCUUCAGAGUAUUCGGAACCAUUGUCUUGUGAUUGUGAGUCUUCCUCGGAGGAGCCUCGUUUCUUGCGCUUGUAGUCAUCAUAUACCAAAGGGAUGCCGUCAAGGUCAUCCUCAUCUGCAGUGAACAAGACAGUGCAAUAGAUCUGUUCUAACAGAAACUGAAGAACUGUCCUCAUUUGCUCUUUGCAGCACAAUGAAAAUGUACCUUGAUCACCUUUUUAUAUAAAUAACCAAGUAACCUCAACCAUUGUAAGAAUUGUUUCCUGCAAUACAAAUAAGUAUUUCAUGUUUAUAAGUUUUCAUAUUUUCCUUAAUUCUUUCCUUAAUAUAAAAAACAUUGAAAGACCAAAAGAAAACAAAAGAAAGAGGAAGACUAACAAUUACUAAAACUCCUAGAAGUUACUAAACAAAAUUAACCAGUAAACAGCUGUACACUUCUCACUCACGCUGUGCAUCUCUUGGAAACAAAUUCUACUCGUUUCCUCAAGUGCAUAUCCUGGAUUAUAUAUUUUGUAAACAAUUUAGUCCCUUACUUCUAAUUUUUCAUCUUGACUAGUCAUGCAAAUUCUAUCAUUAGUCUGUUACUUGUCGUGAGUAGUAAAGACAAGCAUGGGAAGGUUACUGAGCAACAAAUUAAUACUCCUACCAACCUUCUCACUGGUGUAAAGAUAUGCUUCAUUGCAUUGCAAAUAUUAUCAUGACAAAAGUAAAUUAUUGGGGAUUUAAAAGUUGUGCCUACCUUGACAGAACCACUCACCAUGACUGUUGUGACUGGUUUGUGUGUGGGUGCCAGAGUUGUCAUACACUGGGGUGCUAUCUGAACCAUUGGCUCCCUCAUCCUCACUCUGGUUGGCCUCCACUACUUCCCACUUAGAGGUGGUGACAGCCUGCAAAACCCAAAUGUUAUGCUAUACUGUUCAGGAAGCACAUUGCGAUAAGAAAAAGA